CUCGAAGUAUAAACAACUUGUCGUCUCUUGAAGGUGGUAAGUUAUAGUGAAUAGUUAGACUCUUCCAAAUUUAUAUCUGUUUAGCAGAUUACUUUGGUAGGAUGCACAGCUUUUCUUCCAGUGGAAUGCAAUUCAUAUCAUCCAUUGUAUUCCAAGUGUGACUGUAGCCUGGAAGUAAUUGACAUGACCAGCAGUCUAACAGCCUACUUUUCAAGUUUGACAUACAGCAUAUAACUUCUGACUUACAGUAUUUAUUUUACAAAUCUGCCAUGUCUCUCCUCUCUUACUUGGACAAUGCCUUGUUUUCUCCUCUGAAUCUUUGCAUUUAAAAAGAUUGCUUCCUGUUCUGCUCAGUGGUCAAGUGUAGGGCCUAUUAAGGAUUCUAACCCAAACCCAGCACCGAGAUCACCCUGAGUACUUUGCUGUUCUAUAGGACUGCUCCAUCUCUGCAAAGAAGAAUCCGGAGAGGAAGGGCAGUCUCUCCGCUGCCACAUGGGGAGCAAGAACUCCCCACAGGUGGGUCUUCAGGGGGUAUCAUCACUCAGAUGUUAUUAUGGUCUUUUCACAUUAGAAAGUUAGUGAAAUACACUUUGCUGCUCUUGAUUCAGCAAUAAGAAAUAUUCUUUCAAUUCCUACUUUUCAAGCCAAUUUGUUAUCUGCAGUUUUAUUUCCAGAAGUUGAUUCUAGGUGUAGUCAAUAGAUUGAUCUUUGGGUUUUUCUUUGGGUUUCUCAUCUGAUAGAAGAAAGUACUAUUAAAGUAGGCAGUCACCUCUCAUCUUCCUUCUUCAUUGACCUCUCAGCUCUUUGUAAAUACUGUGCUCACUUCUAGAGGCCAGUUCCUAGACAUCUGUAAAGUGCUUGAGAUGCACCGUCUGUAGGCGUGGAUGAGUCCACGGAGACUGAGGUGUUUGUUGGUCACAGGCUACUGUCGGGCUGCCUAAUUCUUAUUGGGAGAUGAUACCUCUCUUUUCUGAGCUUCUCAACUAACGCAGAAGAGCAAUCUGCAGAGCUCUGCCCAUCACUCUUCUUUGAUGCCUGCUUGAUCCUGACUUAGAAUUCCUGGGACUGAGUAGGAACCUGCAGAGAGAAGAAGCUUUAGUUUAGAUCUGUUCAUGACUGAUCAGUUGGCUCCAGUGGUCUGAUGAAGUUGUCCUUAACUGUGUCUGACACCAUGGAAAUAGUUCACCCAUCAAGCAGGAUUUGAUGGAAUCUUGGUGUUCUACCUUCUCAGGGACCAAAAAUGUAACAUUAACUCCUUAGCAUUGACCUUCCUCUCAAAGACAUGUCUGUGUUAUUAAUAGUUUUUCAUAUGUUUUACUCAUAAUCAUAGCUAGAGGUCUGUUAGUUUGAGUUG
RNAcentral lists this long non-coding RNA (1354 nucleotides) under Bos taurus (domestic cattle). RNAcentral describes it as "long non-coding RNA NONBTAT010569". The record is from RNAcentral. Lineage: Eukaryota; Metazoa; Chordata; Mammalia; Artiodactyla; Bovidae.